RNAcentral lists this ribosomal RNA (255 nucleotides) under uncultured bacterium. Its description in RNAcentral is "partial 16S ribosomal RNA". It matches the Rfam family "Bacterial small subunit ribosomal RNA", at positions 793 to 1055 of the family's 1533-position model. The record is from RNAcentral.
GUCCACACCGUAAACGAUGAUUACUAGAUUUUGGCGUUAAGUCAGAGUCCAAGCGAAAGUGUUUAGUAAUCCACCUGGGGAGUACGUCCGCAAGGAUGAAACUCAAAGGAAUUGACGGGGGCCCGCACAAGCGGUGGAGCAUGUGGUUUAAUUCGAUGAUACGCGAGGAACCUUACCUGGGCUUGAAAGUUAGUGACCGCUCCUGAAAGGGAGCUUUCCGCAAGGACACGAAACUAGGUGCUGCAUGGCUGUCGU